AACGAACGCUGGCGGCAUGCCUAACACAUGCGAGUCGAACGAGACCUUCGGGUCUAGUGGCGCACGGGUGCGUAACGCGUGGGAACCUGCCUUUAGGUUCGGAAUAACUCAGAGAAAUUUGAGCUAAUACCGGAUGAUGUCUUCGGACCAAAGAUUUAUCGCCUUUAGAUGGGCCCGCGUUGGAUUAGCUAGUUGGUGGGGUAAAGGCCUACCAAGGCGACGAUCCAUAGCUGGUCUGAGAGGAUGAUCAGCCACACUGGGACUGAGACACGGCCCAGACUCCUACGGGAGGCAGCAGUGGGGAAUAUUGGACAAUGGGCGAAAGCCUGAUCCAGCAAUGCCGCGUGAGUGAUGAAGGCCUUAGGGUUGUAAAGCUCUUUUACCCGAGAUGAUAAUGACAGUAUCGGGAGAAUAAGCGCCGGCUAACUCCGUG
Molecule: ribosomal RNA, 433 nt
Filed under: uncultured bacterium
Lineage: Bacteria
Description: partial 16S ribosomal RNA
Rfam family: Bacterial small subunit ribosomal RNA
Source: RNAcentral